GACGGGGGGGGCAAGUGUUCUUCGGAAUUACUGGGCGUAAAGGGCGCGUAGGCGGAUGGCACAGUCAGAUGUGAAAUUCCCGGGCUUAACCUGGGGGCUGCAUUUGAUACGUGUUGUCUUGAGUUCGGAAGAGGGUCGUGGAAUUCCCAGUGUAGAGGUGAAAUUCGUAGAUAUUGGGAAGAACACCGGUGGCGAAGGCGGCGACCUGGUCCGACACUGACGCUGAGGCGCGAAAGCGUGGGGAGCAAACAGG
RNAcentral lists this ribosomal RNA (253 nucleotides) under uncultured bacterium. RNAcentral's name for it is "partial 16S ribosomal RNA". It matches the Rfam family "Bacterial small subunit ribosomal RNA", at positions 524 to 776 of the family's 1533-position model. The record is from RNAcentral.